This 510-nucleotide ribosomal RNA is filed under the name Bifidobacterium pseudocatenulatum. RNAcentral describes it as "bacterial SSU rRNA". It matches the Rfam family "Bacterial small subunit ribosomal RNA", at positions 166 to 688 of the family's 1533-position model. Lineage: Bacteria; Bacillati; Actinomycetota; Actinomycetes; Bifidobacteriales; Bifidobacteriaceae. The record is from RNAcentral.
AUGCCGGAUGCUCCGACUCCUCGCAUGGGGUGUCGGGAAAGAUUUCAUCGGUAUGGGAUGGGGUCGCGUCCUAUCAGGUAGUCGGCGGGGUAACGGCCCACCGAGCCUACGACGGGUAGCCGGCCUGAGAGGGCGACCGGCCACAUUGGGACUGAGAUACGGCCCAGACUCCUACGGGAGGCAGCAGUGGGGAAUAUUGCACAAUGGGCGCAAGCCUGAUGCAGCGACGCCGCGUGCGGGAUGACGGCCUUCGGGUUGUAAACCGCUUUUGAUCGGGAGCAAGCCUUCGGGUGAGUGUACCUUUCGAAUAAGCACCGGCUAACUACGUGCCAGCAGCCGCGGUAAUACGUAGGGUGCAAGCGUUAUCCGGAAUUAUUGGGCGUAAAGGGCUCGUAGGCGGUUCGUCGCGUCCGGUGUGAAAGUCCAUCGCUUAACGGUGGAUCUGCGCCGGGUACGGGCGGGCUGGAGUGCGGUAGGGGAGACUGGAAUUCCCGGUGUAACGGUGGAAUG